RNAcentral lists this ribosomal RNA (263 nucleotides) under uncultured archaeon. RNAcentral describes it as "partial 16S ribosomal RNA". It matches the Rfam family "Archaeal small subunit ribosomal RNA", at positions 717 to 982 of the family's 1478-position model. The record is from RNAcentral.
ACACGACUACAUUAGAUACCCCUGUAGUCCCAGCCUAAACGAUGCGCGUUAGGUGUAUCGGUGACCACGAGUCACCGAGGUGCCGAAGGGAAACCGUGAAACGUGCCGCCUGGGAAGUACGGUCGCAAGGCUGAAACUUAAAGGAAUUGGCGGGGAGCACCACAACGGGUGGAGCUUGCGGUUUAAUUGGAUUCAACGCCGGAAAUCUUACCGGGACCGACAGCAGCAUGAAGGCCAAGCUGAAGACUUUGCCGGAUUAGCUG